GUCUAGAUAGCUUAGUUGGUAGCGCGUCUGCCUUGUAAGCGCUAGGCCGCGGGUUCGAUUCCCGCCUGGGGCG
Molecule: transfer RNA, 73 nt
Filed under: Diaphorina citri (Asian citrus psyllid)
Lineage: Eukaryota; Metazoa; Arthropoda; Insecta; Hemiptera; Psyllidae
Rfam family: tRNA
About the family: Transfer RNA (tRNA) molecules are approximately 80 nucleotides in length. Their secondary structure includes four short double-helical elements and three loops (D, anti-codon, and T loops).
Source: Rfam by way of RNAcentral